GGCUCCAGACAGCCCCGCUGGUUCAGGUCACCAAGGUGGACUGAGAAACAGGGAUCUUGAGCAGGCCCUUUGACCGACACGUCGGUGUGGCAAGGCUGGAAGGUCUUCCUGCCUCCAGUUGCACAAAGGAAUGGGUUACAGUGGAGAUGGAGAGUUCUGGAGAUUCACACUGAGAUACGGAAAGGACCUUAAGGAGGGCCCGGGAACACGAGGACAAACUUCUAAAGCAGCCUAUAGUGAAGAAUUGCAGAGCAGUGCCGUCAAAUGAAGGACUCAGCCCCAGUGUAGGAUAAUAUUGGGACACAGAAAAUUGCAGCAGAUUGCCUAAGGCAAACCGCAACCAGCCAGCAGCCGGAUGGAGCAGAGAAGAUGCCCGUUAUGUGGGGAAUGUGAGAAGGAUGUUUUCGGGUCUGUGCGCAGCUGUGACAAGCCAGGUAGAAACGGAGUUGGCCCCCUUUCCUGUGUGGGGACUGGAUGUCCCCAAAUUAUCUACAAGAUUUCGACUUGCCAUUGCCCGCUUAGGGAAAUCAUCCAGAGAGAAUUUGU
Long non-coding RNA from Peromyscus leucopus (white-footed mouse), 546 nucleotides. RefSeq lists it as uncharacterized. The record is from RefSeq and is a predicted model, not a curated record. NCBI's taxonomy places the organism in Eukaryota, Metazoa, Chordata, Mammalia, Rodentia, Cricetidae. The transcript has 3 exons.